Molecule: long non-coding RNA, 501 nt
Filed under: Homo sapiens (human)
Lineage: Eukaryota; Metazoa; Chordata; Mammalia; Primates; Hominidae
Description: non-protein coding lnc-MDFIC2-2:2
Source: RNAcentral
GUGGCAAUGGGCGCCUCGAUGGAUCAGGAGCACAGCGGACACCCUGCCAGAUCUGGAGGGAUGGAAGUCAGCGGUGGGUCUGCGAAAGCGCAAACAGGAGUGGUGGACAGCAAGUGAAAGCUCACCUCGAGCCGUAAGGAACACGGAACAAAAGAGAGUGCAGUUGCAAGAUUUAAUAGAGUGAAGACAGAGCUCCCAUACAAAAAGAGAGGACCCAAAGAGGUCAUCAGUUAGAUGAAUAUGUAUUUGAAAGCUGUUCAUUCAUUGUGGAGAUGUGGGUAGACAGCAGUAAAUAUGCCCCAUGGCACUGAUUAACUCAAAGUGGCUCCAGGCCAAAGAUUUUAUGCUUCAGUGGAGAUAUUUUUGCCAGGAACCAUGUUUACCAGAGAUGUUUCCCAAGAUGGACAACAGACUGACCAUGUUGAUUCAGAACUAAGUACUAAUAAAAAGGAGUUUAAUAAGAAGUCUAAUAGAAAUCAAAUUGUAUUUAUCAACUUUAAU